AGCGAACGCUGGCGGCAGGCUUAACACAUGCAAGUCGAGCGGGCAUCUUCGGAUGUCAGCGGCAGACGGGUGCGUAACACGUGGGAACGUACCCUUCGGUUCGGAACAACUCUGGGAAACUGGAGCUAAUACCGGAUACGCCCUUAUGGGGAAAGGUUUACUGCCGAAGGAUCGGCCCGCGUCUGAUUAGCUAGUUGGUGGGGUAACGGCCUACCAAGGCGACGAUCAGUAGCUGGUCUGAGAGGAUGAUCAGCCACACUGGGACUGAGACACGGCCCAGACUCCUACGGGAGGCAGCAGUGGGGAAUAUUGGACAAGGGGCGCAAGCCUGAUCCAGCCAUGCCGCGUGAGUGAUGAAGGCCUUAGGGUUGUAAAGCUCUUUUGUCCGGGACGAUAAUGACGGUACCGGAAGAAUAAGCCCCGGCUAACUUCGUG
Molecule: ribosomal RNA, 435 nt
Filed under: uncultured bacterium
Lineage: Bacteria
Description: partial 16S ribosomal RNA
Rfam family: Bacterial small subunit ribosomal RNA
Source: RNAcentral